This 309-nucleotide unclassified non-coding RNA is filed under the name uncultured bacterium. Its description in RNAcentral is "partial contains 16S ribosomal RNA, 16S-23S ribosomal RNA intergenic spacer, and 23S ribosomal RNA". The record is from RNAcentral.
UGCGGCUGGAUCCCCUCCUUUCUAAGGAUAUAUUCGGAACAUCUUCGUAGAAGAUGAAGGAAUAACAUUGACAUAUUGUAUUCAGUUUUGAAUGUUUAUAUAACAUUCACAUAUCUUCUUUUUCAAAGAAAGCGAUUCGCAGACAAUGCGUUGAGUUACUUUAAAGUGGAGUUUACUAGAAUAAAUGAGUAUUUAAAGUAAUGAUAACAAAACAGUAUGCAAACGCUUGACUGGAAAUAGAACUUGUACAUUGAAAACUAGAUAGGUAAGUAAAAUAGAUUUUACCAAGCAAAACCGAGUGAAUUAGAG